RNAcentral lists this ribosomal RNA (269 nucleotides) under uncultured prokaryote. Its description in RNAcentral is "partial 16S ribosomal RNA". It matches the Rfam family "Bacterial small subunit ribosomal RNA", at positions 524 to 792 of the family's 1533-position model. The record is from RNAcentral.
UACGUAGGUGGCAAGCGUUAUCCGGAAUUAUUGGGCGUAAAGAGCGCGCAGGUGGUUGAUUAAGUCUGAUGUGAAAGCCCACGGCUUAACCGUGGAGGGUCAUUGGAAACUGGUCGACUUGAGUGCAGAAGAGGGAAGUGGAAUUCCAUGUGUAGCGGUGAAAUGCGUAGAGAUAUGGAGGAACACCAGUGGCGAAGGCGGCUUCCUGGUCUGUAACUGACACUGAGGCGCGAAAGCGUGGGGAGCAAACAGGAUUAGAUACCCCGUUA